AGUGAAUAGAUACCCAGGUAGUCCUAGCCGUAAACGAUACUCGCUAGGUGUCGGCCACGGUGCGACCGUUGUCGGUGCCGUAGGGAAAGCCGUGAAGCGAGCCACCUGGGAAGUACGGCCGCAAGGCUGAAACUUAAAGGAAUUGGCGGGGGAGCACCACAACGGGUGGAGCUUGCGGUUUAAAUUGGAUUCAACGCCGGAAAUCUUACCGGGACCGACAGCAAUAUGAAGGCCAGGCUGAAGACUUUGCCGGAUUAGCUGAGAGGUGGUGCAUGGCCGUCGUCAGUUCGUACUGUGAAGCAUCCUGUUAAGUCAGGCAACGAGCGAGACCCACGCCCACAGUUGCCAGCGUACUCUCCGGAGUGACGGGGUACACUGUGGGGACCGCCGCUGCUAAAGCGGAGGAAGGAAUGGGCAACGGUAGGUCAGUAUGCCCCGAAUAUCCCGGGCUGCACGCGAGCUACAAUGGUUGGUACAAUGGGUAUCUACCCCGAAAGGGGAUGGAAAUCUCCUAAAGCCAAUCUUAGUUCGGAUUGGGGGCUGCAACUCGCCCUC
Molecule: ribosomal RNA, 555 nt
Filed under: uncultured bacterium
Lineage: Bacteria
Description: bacterial SSU rRNA
Rfam family: Archaeal small subunit ribosomal RNA
Source: RNAcentral